UACAUAAGAAGAUAUGAAAAGUAACCCGAACUCGCAUCCGGCGACCGUAAGAGAACGCCGACUCGCUUACACGAACGCCAACAAACCCUGGACGGAGGCAGUGCUCACCCAGUUGCCGUCGGGAAACAUUGCACUUGUCCGAAUGGCGAGCCCUGAGCCCCACCCGAGAGGCCAGACCCCGCGGCGGAAAGGUCUUCUAGUUGUGUGAAUUAACAUGACUUCCUUGUCCAAAGCUGAAUGUCUGGCUGAUAACUGGGCCUCGGCACAUCCUGGACCUGACAGAGGUUGAUGAGGCAGAAGAGGAAUUCACCAAGAUGAACUAAAAAAGGAAGGGUUAGUACAUCUUC
This 347-nucleotide long non-coding RNA is filed under the name Penaeus monodon (black tiger shrimp). Its description in RNAcentral is "uncharacterized LOC119597365, transcript variant X1". Lineage: Eukaryota; Metazoa; Arthropoda; Malacostraca; Decapoda; Penaeidae. The record is from RNAcentral.